RNAcentral lists this ribosomal RNA (524 nucleotides) under uncultured bacterium. RNAcentral describes it as "partial 16S ribosomal RNA". It matches the Rfam family "Bacterial small subunit ribosomal RNA", at positions 28 to 523 of the family's 1533-position model. The record is from RNAcentral.
GACGAACGCUGGCGGCGUGCCUAAUACAUGCAAGUCGAGCGCAGGAAACCGUUCUGAACCCUUCGGGGGGACGACGGUGGAAUGAGCGGCGGACGGGUGAGUAACACGUAAAGAACCUGCCCAUAGGUCUGGGAUAACCACGAGAAAUCGGGGCUAAUACCGGAUGUGUCAGCGGACCGCAUGGUCCGCUGAUGAAAGGCGCUCCGGCGUCGCCCAUGGAUGGCUUUGCGGUGCAUUAGCUAGUUGGUGGGUAACGGCCCACCAAGGCGACGAUGCAUAGCCGACCUGAGAGGGUGAUCGGCCACACUGGGACUGAGACACGGCCCAGACUCCUACGGGAGGCAGCAGUAGGGAAUCUUCCACAAUGGACGAAAGUCUGAUGGAGCAACGUCGCGUGAACGAUGAAGGCUUUCGGGUCGUAAAGUUCUGUUGUAAGGGAAGAACAAGUGCCGCAGGCAAUGGCGGCACCUUGACGGUACCUUGCGAGAAAGCCACGGCUAACUACGUGCCAGCAGCCGCAGUAA